Bombus pyrosoma is the source of this 3020-nucleotide long non-coding RNA. RefSeq lists it as uncharacterized. Lineage: Eukaryota; Metazoa; Arthropoda; Insecta; Hymenoptera; Apidae. The record is from RefSeq and is a predicted model, not a curated record. The transcript has 3 exons.
CAGUUCCGCGUUUGAUGUGACGAAGGUUUCCAUGAUUCUGACAAUCGAUUACUAUUAAUAGUACUAUUGUUAGUAACAUUGUUAUCGUUGGCGAGCAACUCGCCGAUUUUUAUUUCCUUUUCUUCUUUCGCGUAUAUAUGGAAAGUUUAAGAACUCGAAAAUACGUGGAAUACACUUAACGUGCAAAAAUGUAUAAAGGUACGUGAAGUAUAGUGUUUGCUAUAAUAUUCGGUAGAUACAUAGCGUUCGGUAUGUGUUUAGUGUGGCACUAAAUGUGAUUUUGAGGAUCGAUUAUUAUCGGCGAGUGGACUACAGUUUUUCGCGGAUUUUGCGGCGAAUGUAAAAAUUCAGAGAUGCGUAGAAUACGCGCAACGUGAGAACACACGAGCCGCUGCAUAUGCGAAAGCGGUGCAAAAGUCACAGAGAAGUUGAUUACCGAGUAACGAGAGAUAAAAUGGGAAUUUUGUAAAGCGUGGAGCGGACGAUUCUCAGCGAGAAACUAACCAAGAUUUACCUACGUUUACUUUUACUUCUGCACGAAACAAGAUGAAGGUCACGCUCUCGUAAUGUGCUGUUAAAUCAAAUGCGCGAAAAAUUGAUUUACAUCGCGUUUACGUUACGCGGCUCGUAUCGUAAGAUGUCUAAAGUACGGUGCUGUAAUAUUUAUGGACGUACGAAGGUUUCGGCGAUCUCGAUGAUCCACGAUUAGCGGGCAGCAGCAAAAUUACAAAUUUACUAUAACGAUGCGGAUAUUUCGAGCCGGCUGCAAAUGCAAGCAGACACGUUGGUUCGUUUGCGAUGGUGAAACGAAAGGAGACGGAAAGAGAGGAAAGAUAUAAUAUACGAUAGAAUUAUGGAGGUCAGAUUGAAGAAAGAAAAAUGAGGGUCAGUGAGGACUUCUGAGAAUUCUCCAUCUUCUCCUCACGAAAUCGUCUUUUCGAUAAAUCCAAAGCGCGUGCUCCGGCACGGUUCUCCAAUUUUGAUAUGCCCGUCUAUUUUCAACGACCAAGAAGACUCGUAAAUAAUAUUAAAAAUGGCUUUAUCGCUAAACUGCGGAUCUUCACGUACGUGCAUUACGUAUUUAUAGAAAAUUUGAAGGUGCAACGUUCCACGAAAUGCACACGCGAUAUCCAAUAAAGUACAGUGCUUUCUACACUGCUCGGUGAACUGCAACGAGGCACAAAGACAGUUCGAUCGUCUGAGAGUUUUUAUUCGCGUCGAGGGAGUUGCAAAACUCGUGGAGAACGCGGCUGAAUGAGCCCACGCGCAUUCCCUGACUGUCGUACGCGGUCCAAGAUAUUGACAUUGGCCCUUUUCCACCGGAUCUGAUCGUUUUAUUAUGCAGCCAGCGGAACUCGGUUUCGAGGAUUGGCACAGUUUCAAGUGCACCAAGCUACUCAGACGUUACACGACCCAGUGCUAGCCUCCGUCGCUUUAUACACGUCCUAAAACAUUUAUAUCACGGUCGAUAUUUCACGGUAAAUUGGAAGAAACGAUCUCGAAUAACGUUAUAUCCAAGCAGACGAAAAAUCGAGUGGCCAUUCGUUUCAGAAAUCAGUUGAUAUUAGAUCGUCGAGAUUAUGCGAGUAUUCGAUAAAAAUAAUGAAAUUAUCUUUACUUUGCAUCGUAUUUGAAUAAUUCGAGCGUUCGAUGAAAAUAAUGGAGAAAUUUUUCAUGCACGUCUGCGACGAGAGACAUCGUUUUACGAUGUGUUUCUAAGAAGAAAAUAUUUCUGUCGGACAUUUGCUGCUAUACAUCGAUACACCUUCGAGUUUCUCGUCAAAAAAUCGAACUUCAGAGAAGAUUCUUUCCGACGUUACACGUGACUCUUAAAACAAUAGAACUGCGUACCGAGAAGAUUUUCAUUGGACAAUGAACGAGGCAGAUACUCGACUAAUUCCAUUUAGCCGAAGCAUCCUGUACAUUCUACAGAAAUUUGCAUACACGCGACCUAUAAUCUAUAAUCCAUAAGCUAACGUGAAUUAAAUUACCUAUAUACAGGGUGUUCACGUUCAGAAGCGAAGAAAAACGUAACGCGAUACUCUCGUGUUUGCGUCUCGUUUGUCUUAAACCUGAGAAAUUCUACGAAAUUAAAGUUACGAUAUCUUCGAGUCUUUCACGCUCCGCUGCCUUCGUUCGAGCGGACACAAAGAGAUCGCCGUAUGGCGAUCGUAUGGCAGGAAAUUACAAGCUGCAAAUUUUUCGAAAAUAUGUGUUUUCUUGCAGCUUUGCCCUCGAAAUGUAAAUAGAAAAACCAAAUAAAAAGAAAGAAAAAAGUGAAAAAUACGCCAAGCGCAGAGGGUUGAACUCUGCUCGGUUUUCGAGCCCAAUACGGCAACUAAGUGAUUGCGGAUUUUAUCGUUAGAUGGUAAUGACAAAAUCUGCAAUCACUUAGUUGCCAACCCAAUAUAAAAAGAACGCGAAACAAGGCAAUCAGAUGCUGAUUUGUAGGAUGAAGCGAUGGAGCAUAGCACAGGCAAAUACAUUUUGGAUGGCGGAGAAACGGAGGUGUAUUUUUGUAUGCGAAAAGGAAUCGGAAACGCUGAGACGCUUGAUAGAGGACCGUGGAGGAAUAGAAUGGUUAAGGAAGUUAGAAAGAAACGACUGCAUCAUAUAAGGAAAGGUAGGGAGAAAGGAAGAGCAGACGUGGGAACGCCAAAAAGAGAAUGUGCUACAAACAAGUGAGAUUAAAUUUAAGCAAUUAACCGAGAGUAACUAGAGUGUAACUAAGAGUAUGUUCAAGUAUUGGAUCGUCCCAAAAGUUCCUUUCGUUUUUGUCCCAGUAGGACAAAAUGGAUCACACGUAAUUCGAUAAAAUAAUAUAAAAUAAAAAAUGUUGUGCGUCCAUUGUUUGCUUAUAAAACGAAGGAAAUUUUUGGGGCAACCUAACGUUAUAUUAACAAUAAUCUAGUGUGUAUUGAGGUUGAAAGAGCGUGCGGAUAAGAAAUCUAUGCGAAUCUCAUAUUGUAGCCAGAAGGCAAAAAUAAAUAAAAUAAUAGAAAUAAAUUCUUAUGUAUAUA